Molecule: ribosomal RNA, 336 nt
Filed under: uncultured prokaryote
Description: bacterial SSU rRNA
Rfam family: Bacterial small subunit ribosomal RNA
Source: RNAcentral
AGGACGAACGCUGGCGGCGUGCUUAACACAUGCAAGUCGAACGAGAUCCAUUUGGUGGUAACACCAGAGAAGAUCUAGUGGCGAACGGGUGAGUAACACGUGAGCAACCUACCCCGAAGAUUGGGAUAACACCGGGAAACCGAUGCUAAUACCGAAUACCCCCACCGGGUCACAUGGCCUGAUGAGGAAAUGGGUUUCUGCUUCGGGAGGGGCUCGCGGCCUAUCAGCUUGCUGGCAGGGGUAAUGGCCUACCAAAGCAACGACGGGUAGCUGGUCUGAGAGGAUGAUCAGCCACACUGGGACUGAGACACGGCCCAGACUCCUACGGGAGGCAGC